GAUGAACGCUGGCGGCGUGCCUAAUACAUGCAAGUCGAGCGAACAGAUGAGGAGCUUGCUCCUCUGACGUUAGCGGCGGACGGGUGAGUAACACGUGGAUAACCUACCUAUAAGACUGGGAUAAAUUCGGGAAACCGGAGCUAAUACCGGAUAAUAUAUUGAACCGCAUGGUUCAAUAGUGAAAGACGGUUUUGCUGUCACUUAUAGAUGGAUCCGCGCCGCAUUAGCUAGUUGGUAAGGUAACGGCUUACCAAGGCAACGAUGCGUAGCCGACCUGAGAGGGUGAUCGGCCACCCUGGAACUGGGACACGGUCCAGGCUCCUACGGGAGGCAGCAGUAGGGAAUCUUCCGCAAUGGGCGAAAGCCUGACGGAGCAACGCCGCGUGAGUGAUGAAGGUCUUCGGAUCGUAAAACUCUGUUAUUAGGGAAGAACAAAUGUGUAAGUAACUAUGCACGUCUUGACGGUACCUAAUCAGAAAGCCACGGCUAACUACGUG
This 497-nucleotide ribosomal RNA is filed under the name uncultured bacterium. RNAcentral's name for it is "partial 16S ribosomal RNA". It matches the Rfam family "Bacterial small subunit ribosomal RNA", at positions 28 to 507 of the family's 1533-position model. The record is from RNAcentral.